CUGUCCAUGAUUUUGGAGGGAAGCUAAGCAAACAUAACAACACAAGACAAGGAAGAGGAGAACUUCAUUUCAUCAAUCAUAUUUAUUUCUUCUUCUACAUUGCCUGCCUUCCCCUUGAAAGGUCAGCUCAAAUGUCUGCAUCGCAUCUUUCACAUGUUACUCAUUGUAUUGUCAAAUCAAUUAUUUGGAAUCAUCAUUGCAUGCACAUCAUUAACUAACACACGCCCCCCUCUUUAUCAAGUGAAGAAC
Molecule: long non-coding RNA, 249 nt
Filed under: Medicago truncatula (barrel medic)
Lineage: Eukaryota; Viridiplantae; Streptophyta; Magnoliopsida; Fabales; Fabaceae
Description: long non-coding RNA (MTRU_LNC005469)
Source: RNAcentral